This 73-nucleotide transfer RNA is filed under the name Beggiatoa sp. IS2. Its description in RNAcentral is "tRNA-Phe". It matches the Rfam family "tRNA". Rfam says of the family: Transfer RNA (tRNA) molecules are approximately 80 nucleotides in length. The record is from RNAcentral. Lineage: Bacteria; Pseudomonadati; Pseudomonadota; Gammaproteobacteria; Thiotrichales; Thiotrichaceae.
GGUCGGAUAGCUCAGUUGGUAGAGCAGAGGACUGAAAAUCCUCGUGUCGGGUGUUCAAUUCACCCUCCGACCA